RNAcentral lists this non-coding RNA (31 nucleotides) under Rattus norvegicus (Norway rat). Lineage: Eukaryota; Metazoa; Chordata; Mammalia; Rodentia; Muridae. The record is from RNAcentral.
UAGCCCUACUUUACGGAAACACAUUAGGCAU